This 497-nucleotide ribosomal RNA is filed under the name uncultured bacterium. RNAcentral describes it as "partial 16S ribosomal RNA". It matches the Rfam family "Bacterial small subunit ribosomal RNA", at positions 28 to 507 of the family's 1533-position model. The record is from RNAcentral.
GAUGAACGCUGGCGGCGUGCCUAAUACAUGCAAGUCGAGCGAACGGACGAGAAGCUUGCUUCUCUGAUGUUAGCGGCGGACGGGUGAGUAACACGUGGAUAACCUACCUAUAAGACUGGGAUAACUUCGGGAAACCGGAGCUAAUACCGGAUAAUAUUUUGAACCGCAUGGUUCAAAAGUGAAAGACGGUCUUGCUGUCACUUAUAGAUGGAUCCGCGCUGCAUUAGCUAGUUGGUAAGGUAACGGCUUACCAAGGCAACGAUGCAUAGCCGACCUGAGAGGGUGGUCCGCCACAGUGGAAAUGAGAAACGGUGCAAAAGCCUACGGGGGGGAGCAGUAGGGAAUCUUCCUCAAUGGGGGAAAACCUGACGGAGCAACGCCGCGGGGGUGAUGAAGGGUUUCGGAUCGUAAAACCCUUGUAUUAGGGGAGAACAAAUGUGUAAGGAAAUGUGCACAACUUGACGGUAACAAAUAAGAAAACCACGGCUAACUACGUG